UACGAAGGGUGCUAGCGUUGUUCGGAUUUACUGGGCGUAAAGGGCGCGUAGGCGGCCACGACAAGUCACUUGUGAAACCUCCGGGCUUAACUCGGAACGGUCAAGUGAUACUGUCGGGCUAGAGUGCAGAAGGGGCAACUGGAAUUCUCGGUGUAGCGGUGAAAUGCGUAGAUAUCGAGAGGAACACCUGCGGCGAAGGCGGGUUGCUGGGCUGACACUGACGCUGAGGCGCGAAAGCCAGGGGAGCGAACGGG
RNAcentral lists this ribosomal RNA (254 nucleotides) under uncultured bacterium. Its description in RNAcentral is "partial 16S ribosomal RNA". It matches the Rfam family "Bacterial small subunit ribosomal RNA", at positions 524 to 776 of the family's 1533-position model. The record is from RNAcentral.